This 494-nucleotide ribosomal RNA is filed under the name uncultured bacterium. RNAcentral describes it as "partial 16S ribosomal RNA". It matches the Rfam family "Bacterial small subunit ribosomal RNA", at positions 28 to 507 of the family's 1533-position model. The record is from RNAcentral.
GACGAACGCUGGCGGCGUGCUUAACACAUGCAAGUCGAACGGUGAAGCGCCUUCCUUUUUGGUGGGUGUGGAUGAGUGGCGAACGGGUGAGUAACACGUGAGUAACCUGCCCCCUUCUUCUGGAUAACCGCAUGAAAGUGUGGCUAAUACGGGAUAUUCUGGGUCUGUCGCAUGAUGGGUCUGGGAAAGAUAUUGUUUCGGUGGGGGAUGGGCUCGCGGCCUAUCAGCUUGUUGGUGGGGUGAUGGCCUACCAAGGCGGUGACGGGUAGCCGGCCUGAGAGGGUGGACGGUCACACUGGGACUGAGACACGGCCCAGACUCCUUCGGGAGGGAGCAGUGGGGAAUAUUGCACAAUGGGCGCAAGCCUGAUGCAGCGACGCCGCGUGAGGGAUGGAGGCCUUCGGGUUGUGAACCUCUUUCGCCAGUGAAGCAGGCCUGCCUCGUUUGUGGGUGGGUUGACGGUAGCUGGAUAAGAAGCGCCGGCUAACUACGUG